This 253-nucleotide ribosomal RNA is filed under the name uncultured bacterium. Its description in RNAcentral is "partial 16S ribosomal RNA". It matches the Rfam family "Bacterial small subunit ribosomal RNA", at positions 524 to 776 of the family's 1533-position model. The record is from RNAcentral.
UACGGGGGGGGCAAGCGUUGUUCGGAAUUACUGGGCGUAAAGGGCUCGUAGGCGGCCAACUAAGUCGGAUGUGAAAUCCCCAGGCUCAACUUGGGAACUGCAUCCGAUACUGGAUGGCUUGAAUCCGGGAGAGGGAUGCAGAAUUCCAGGUGUAGCGGUGAAAUGCGUAGAUAUCUGGAGGAACACCGGUGGCGAAGGCGACAUCCUGGACCGGUAUUGACGCUGAGGCGCGAAAGCCAGGGGAGCAAACGGG